Molecule: ribosomal RNA, 654 nt
Filed under: Pseudomonas sp. 58 R 3
Lineage: Bacteria; Pseudomonadati; Pseudomonadota; Gammaproteobacteria; Pseudomonadales; Pseudomonadaceae
Description: bacterial SSU rRNA
Rfam family: Bacterial small subunit ribosomal RNA
Source: RNAcentral
UUUGAACUGAAGAGUUUGAUCAUGGCUCAGAUUGAACGCUGGCGGCAGGCCUAACACAUGCAAGUCGAGCGGUAGAGAGAAGCUUGCUUCUCUUGAGAGCGGCGGACGGGUGAGUAAAGCCUAGGAAUCUGCCUGGUAGUGGGGGAUAACGUUCGGAAACGGACGCUAAUACCGCAUACGUCCUACGGGAGAAAGCAGGGGACCUUCGGGCCUUGCGCUAUCAGAUGAGCCUAGGUCGGAUUAGCUAGUUGGUGAGGUAAUGGCUCACCAAGGCGACGAUCCGUAACUGGUCUGAGAGGAUGAUCAGUCACACUGGAACUGAGACACGGUCCAGACUCCUACGGGAGGCAGCAGUGGGGAAUAUUGGACAAUGGGCGAAAGCCUGAUCCAGCCAUGCCGCGUGUGUGAAGAAGGUCUUCGGAUUGUAAAGCACUUUAAGUUGGGAGGAAGGGCAUUAACCUAAUACGUUAGUGUUUUGACGUUACCGACAGAAUAAGCACCGGCUAACUCUGUGCCAGCAGCCGCGGUAAUACAGAGGGUGCAAGCGUUAAUCGGAAUUACUGGGCGUAAAGCGCGCGUAGGUGGUUUGUUAAGUUGGAUGUGAAAUCCCCGGGCUCAACCUGGGAACUGCAUUCAAAACUGACUGACUAGAGU